This 330-nucleotide ribosomal RNA is filed under the name uncultured eukaryote. Its description in RNAcentral is "partial 18S ribosomal RNA". It matches the Rfam family "Eukaryotic small subunit ribosomal RNA", at positions 1470 to 1796 of the family's 1831-position model. The record is from RNAcentral.
CCCUUAGAUGUUCGGAGCUGCACGCGCGCUACACUGAAGGAAGCAGCGUGUUAGAUCACCUGACUUGAAAAAGUUGGGUAAUCCGGUGAAUGUCCUUCGUGAUUGGGAUAGGCACUUGUAAUUAUUUGCCUUGAACGAGGAAUACCUAGUAAGUGCGAGUCAUCAGCUUGCGCUGACUACGUCCCUGCCCCUUGUACACACCGCCCGUCGCUGCCCGGAACUGAGCCGUUUCGAGAAGACUGAGGAUUGCUGACUUGAGGCCUUCACGGGCUUCUAGUCGGUGAAAAUCAAUUUAAUCGCAGCGGCUUGAACCGGGCAAAAGUCGUAACA